Molecule: ribosomal RNA, 440 nt
Filed under: uncultured bacterium
Lineage: Bacteria
Description: bacterial SSU rRNA
Rfam family: Bacterial small subunit ribosomal RNA
Source: RNAcentral
CCUACGGGGGGCAGCAGUGGGGAAUCUUGCGCAAUGGGCGAAAGCCUGACGCAGCCAUGCCGCGUGAAUGAUGAAGGUCUUAGGAUUGUAAAAUUCUUUCACCGGGGACGAUAAUGACGGUACCCGGAGAAGAAGCCCCGGCUAACUUCGUGCCAGCAGCCGCGGUAAUACGAAGGGGGCUAGCGUUGCUCGGAAUUACUGGGCGUAAAGGGAGCGUAGGCGGACAUUUAAGUCAGGGGUGAAAUCCCGGGGCUCAACCUCGGAAUUGCCUUUGAUACUGGGUGUCUUGAGUAUGAGAGAGGUGUGUGGAACUCCGAGUGUAGAGGUGAAAUUCGUAGAUAUUCGGAAGAACACCAGUGGCGAAGGCGACACACUGGCUCAUUACUGACGCUGAGGCUCGAAAGCGUGGGGAGCAAACAGGAUUAGAUACCCUAGUAGUC